GAUGAACGCUAGCUACAGGCUUAACACAUGCAAGUCGAGGGGCAUCACAGUGUAGCAAUACACGGGUGGCGACCGGCGCACGGGUGCGUAACACGUAUCCAAUCUGCCCGUUACUCGGGGAUAGCCUUCUGAAAGGAAGAUUAAUACCCGAUGGCAUGUAUUUCCGGCAUCGGAGAUACAUUAAAGAUUUAUCGGUAACGGAUGAGGAUGCGUACGAUUAGCUUGUUGGCGGGGUAACGGCCCACCAAGGCUACGAUCGUUAGGGGUUCUGAGAGGAAGGUCCCCCACACUGGAACUGAGACACGGUCCAGACUCCUACGGGAGGCAGCAGUGAGGAAUAUUGGUCAAUGGGCGCGAGCCUGAACCAGCCAAGUAGCGUGAAGGAUGACUGCCCUACGGGUUGUAAACUUCUUUUGUUUGGGAAUAAAUGAUACUACGUGUAGUAUUUUGCAUGUACCUUACGAAUAAGCAUCGGCUAAUUCCGUGCCAGCAGCCGCGGU
This 500-nucleotide ribosomal RNA is filed under the name uncultured bacterium. Its description in RNAcentral is "bacterial SSU rRNA". It matches the Rfam family "Bacterial small subunit ribosomal RNA", at positions 28 to 521 of the family's 1533-position model. The record is from RNAcentral.